Molecule: ribosomal RNA, 378 nt
Filed under: uncultured eukaryote
Lineage: Eukaryota
Description: partial 18S ribosomal RNA
Rfam family: Eukaryotic small subunit ribosomal RNA
Source: RNAcentral
CAAUAGCGUAUAUUUAAGUUGUUGCAGUUAAAAAGCUCGUAGUUGGAUUUUGGGUCGGGGGCACCGGUCCGCCGUUCCGGUGUGCACUGGUGGCCCCUUCCUUUCUGCCGGGGACGUGCGUCGCACUUAAUUGGGUGGCGUUCGGAGUCGGCGUUGUUACUUUGAAAAAAUUAGAGUGUUCAAAGCAAGCCAUCGCUCUGAAUACAUUAGCAUGGAAUAACAUGAUAGGACUCCGGUCUUAUUUUGUUGGUUUCCGAGACUGGAGUAAUGAUUAAGAGGGACAGUCGGGGGCAUCCGUAUUUCAUUGUCAGAGGUGAAAUUCUUGGAUUCAUGAAAGACGAACUUCUGCGAAAGCAUUUGCCAAGGAUGUUUUCAUUA